RNAcentral lists this unclassified non-coding RNA (288 nucleotides) under Neopestalotiopsis sp. RNAcentral's name for it is "partial contains 5.8S ribosomal RNA, internal transcribed spacer 2, and large subunit ribosomal RNA". The stretch from base 1 to 71 matches the Rfam family "5.8S ribosomal RNA", at positions 84 to 154 of the family's 154-position model. The record is from RNAcentral. Lineage: Eukaryota; Fungi; Ascomycota; Sordariomycetes; Amphisphaeriales; Sporocadaceae.
GUGAGUCAUCGAAUCUUUGAACGCACAUUGCGCCCGCCAGUAUUCUGGCGGGCAUGCCUGUUCGAGCGUCAUUUCAACCAUCAAGCCCCCGGCUUGUGUUGGGGACCUGCGGCUGCCGCAGGCCCUGAAAACCAGUGGCGGGCUCGCUAGUCACUCCGAGCGUAGUAGUAUUAUCUCGCUCCGGACGUGCUGCGUGCUCCGGCCGUUAAAACACCCCUUUUAACCCAAGGUUGACCUCGGAUCAGGUAGGAAGACCCGCUGAACUUAAGCAUAUCAAUAAGCGGAGGA